Molecule: ribosomal RNA, 495 nt
Filed under: uncultured organism
Description: SSU rRNA
Rfam family: Bacterial small subunit ribosomal RNA
Source: RNAcentral
AGAGUUUGAUCCUGGCUCAGGAUAAACGCUGGCGGCGCACAUAAGACAUGCAAGUCGAACGGACGAAUAGAAUUCUUUUAGAUUUCUAUGAGUUAGUGGCGGACUGGUGAGUAACGCGUGAGCAACCUACCUAUAAGAGGGGAAUAACGAAGAGAAAUUUUCGCUAAUACCGCAUAAGCUGAUAGAACCGCAUGGUUUAGUCAGAAAAGGAGCAAUCCGCUAAUAGAUGGGCUCGCGUCCGAUUAGCUAGUUGGUUAGGUAAAGGCUGACCAAGGCAACGAUCGGUAGCCGGACUGAGAGGUUGAACGGCCACAUUGGGACUGAGAUACGGCCCAGACUCCUACGGGAGGCAGCAGUCGGGAAUAUUGCGCAAUGGAGGAAACUCUGACGCAGUGACGCCGCGUAUAGGAAGAAGGUUUUCGGAUUGUAAACCUCUGUACUGCGGGACGAGGAGAAGACGGUACCGCAGAAGGAAGCCCCGGCUAACUACGUGCC